CAUUCUGGCUUAACAUAGAGAAGAAUGUAACAGCGGUGCGAGGCGGAAAUAUCUCCCUCCCCUGUGAUUUCUCUGUUCCUGCACAUGCAGUCUACUGGUACAAACACGACUUCACUGGAGCACCAGCUGACGGAGCAUCACUCGUAGCCCGAGACUAUCAAGGUAUAACAGAUCCUGUACCGGGCUUUGAGAGGUUCAGCAUCACCAGGGAUUACAGUUUGAUCAUCAAAAACAUCAUUGUUCACGACGAGACAACCUACUCAUGCUUAGUUGUUGAGCUUGAUACCUUGGAUGUUGGUGAGGAAAGAGGCUAUACGGACUUGAGAGUUAUAGCUUUAGCAGAGCCCCUUGAACCGAUCAUCGAGAUCAUCGAGCCCUGUACUUUCACAGCGCAAGGGGGAUGUAUCUACCAUGUUAAUAGGCCUACUACUGAUGGGGACACGUCGGAGGAUGUAAUACUUGUUUCUAAGCUUUUCAAUAUUCGACCUCUACCAAAAUUGAUUUGGAUUGGAAGCGAUGGAAGAUUACAUGAACAUGCAACUCACCAGACGCAGGAGAAAGACGGGCUGUUUAACAUUUCAUUACAACUUCAGGUAUCCAAGUCGCAUCUUGAUCACAACUAUACCUGUCAAGCUAAAGGGGAAGCCGUGAAUGGAACCUCAUCAGUAGAUAUUUCUUUUGAGGAUUCUGCUA
Long non-coding RNA from Lytechinus pictus (painted urchin), 693 nucleotides. RefSeq lists it as uncharacterized. The transcript is spliced from 3 exons. The record is from RefSeq and is a predicted model, not a curated record. Lineage: Eukaryota; Metazoa; Echinodermata; Echinoidea; Temnopleuroida; Toxopneustidae.